This is a long non-coding RNA of Carlito syrichta (Philippine tarsier), 921 nucleotides long. RefSeq lists it as uncharacterized. The record is from RefSeq and is a predicted model, not a curated record. Lineage: Eukaryota; Metazoa; Chordata; Mammalia; Primates; Tarsiidae. The transcript has 3 exons.
AUCAGAACAAAGCAAUUAUCGAGAAGGAAAAUGAUGUCGAGGAGAAGGCAGACGCACGCCGACAGCUGUGUCGCGGAGACCCAGGAAGUUUCAGGAAUGGCUCGAUGUCCUCGCCAGGCAUCCUGGAUCCAGCCGGACCCGAAGCUAGCCGGCGACGUGAGCCAACAUGUUCCUCUGUGCUGAAGCCGGCCUGGGCCGCUCCCAGCCACCACAGAGCACGGCCUCUCUCGUCCGGCCAAUCAGCAGCUCCCUUGAAGCUGAGAUUCGCAAGUGCCGCUCCAGGGUGGGAGUUUUCACCUCUGGCUGGCUCCAUCCUCUGAGCAGUGGCUCCAACACAGCCACCGUGCUCGGGGCGCCGCGGCUCACCUGCUCCGAAGCCUCGCCUGGCCAGCCUCCUGGGCUCUGGCCCCCCGCGCUGGGCUCGGAACCGCGUGAAAGGGGGCAGCCCUGGAACCGUUCCAACGGGUCGAUGUCCGCGAGGAUGGCCCAGGGUGGCUCCAGACAGACGACCGCCAGUACCCACCCCCUUCGCCUCCGAGGCUGCAGCCCGGAGUCCAUUCCGCGCAGACUCCGGUCCAGGAAGUGGCAAAGAUAGCACAGAGAGAGGCGCUGUGCACCCUCCCCAGGGUGCCCCCAGCGGUCGUGUCUUACAUAACCCGGUCCGGUCCCAGGCCAGAACGCUGCGUUGGCACAAGGGGUGUGCGUCACUGCGCGGCAUUCUGGCCCGUGUGGAGUGUCACGGAGCGCCACAGCCGUUGGGACGCAGAGCUGUCCCAUCGCCGCAAGUUUCCCUGCUGCUUCCUCACGGCUCCCCCCUCAAUCCUCUCCACCCCUUCCCGGGCUCCCAGCAGCCGCUGAUCUGUCUGCCAUCUCUAGGAUUCUGCCGUGCUGAGAAUGUUACAUAAACGAAAUCAUAUGAUA